Molecule: long non-coding RNA, 239 nt
Filed under: Panax ginseng (ginseng)
Lineage: Eukaryota; Viridiplantae; Streptophyta; Magnoliopsida; Apiales; Araliaceae
Description: long non-coding RNA (PGIN_LNC007176)
Source: RNAcentral
UUUCAACUAACGCUCAUUCAGCUGUCCAAAAUUAGAGUGAAUGGCUGAAAUGAGGCCCAACCGCUACUCCUUCCAGCGACAAGCCAAAUUUUUUUUGUUGUCUACUACUCCUUUUAGCGGCCAAUUAAAACGACCAUAUUUUGACUGACCGAUAGAGGAAGUAGCGGCCAACAAAAAAAUUUGGCUUAAUUACUAAUUAUCGUCGUACAUACUACUUAUUAAUCAGUAAAAUAAAAUAA